UACGUAGGGGGCAAGCGUUGUCCGGAAUUAUUGGGCGUAAAGCGCGCGUAGGCGGUUCUUUAAGUCUGGUGUGAAAGCCCACGGCUCAACCGUGGAGGGUCAUUGGAAACUGGAGAACUUGAGUGCAGGAGAGGAAAGCGGAAUUCCAUGUGUAGCGGUGAAAUGCGUAGAUAUAUGGAGGAACACCAGUGGCGAAGGCGGCUUUCUGGCCUGCAACUGACGCUAAGGCGCGAAAGCGUGGGGAGCAAACAGG
Molecule: ribosomal RNA, 253 nt
Filed under: uncultured bacterium
Lineage: Bacteria
Description: partial 16S ribosomal RNA
Rfam family: Bacterial small subunit ribosomal RNA
Source: RNAcentral